UACAUCGGAGACCAGGUUGGCGACGCGUAUUCUUGGGGAAUUAACACACAUACGCGCUGUUAUUGCUUGAGAAUACACGUAGUUUGCCUGGUCGAUCUCU
RNAcentral lists this microRNA precursor (100 nucleotides) under Nasonia vitripennis (jewel wasp). Its description in RNAcentral is "microRNA nvi-mir-137 precursor". Its record names the gene nvi-mir-137. The stretch from base 16 to 87 matches the Rfam family "mir-137 microRNA precursor family". Lineage: Eukaryota; Metazoa; Arthropoda; Insecta; Hymenoptera; Pteromalidae. The record is from miRBase by way of RNAcentral.